UGCAUCUCCCAGGAGGCGCUGCGGCAGCCCUAGGGUGGGGUCUCCAGCCUAGUGAGUCUGAAGGCGGGGUUCAGCUCUCCUUGGCCAUGGUGCUGCACCCCAUGAAGUCCCCAGUUCCUCCUGGUUCCCAAAGGAAAACUUUGAACUCACAGAAAUCCUCCUGCCUCUGCCUUCCAAGGGCUGGGAUUAAAGGGUGCUGGGAUUAAAGACGUGUGCCACAUUACCAGGGUGCUAGAUACUCAAUGUCACCAAGGUUAGAGCCAAGCCAGAGGCAGAUGACCUUCGUGGGAGGCGUGGUCACUAGAAGGGUCCCUUGUUGCUUGCAUACGUGGCUUGUAAUUGUUGAGUGUUCACCACAGACAGCUGCCAUGGAAACAGCCUCCUCUGGGGAUCUCGACAGUACCGUCAGUGAAGGAGUGGGACAGUCUUUGCUUCAGAAAUACGGUGACAGAUGCAGAAGAGACACAUUCAGGGAAGCUUGCUUCUCUGAGGCCAGAGAAGCCAAGGCCAGCAAGGGACAUUGUGUCCAGGAAUUUUUAUUUACUCUUCUUCCAGGUGGCAGUAGGAGGAACAAUCCAGAGGGGAAACGAUGCUGUGCAGAGAGCACAUAUAAGAGGGGACAAGACCCUGUGUCCCUGUGAGCAGUCAGUACCACAGUUCUUCGGGUGUGGAAGGAAGAGUACUUGAACCAAGAUGUAGGUGGAUGUGGUAGGCAGAGUAUGCCCCCGCCCUCAUCCCCAGAACUCAUGAAUCUGUUACUUUACUGUGCAAAGCCUGGGGCUGUGGCCUGAUUGUAGAGCACUCACCCGGCAUGCCCAGGGUCCAGGGUUCCAGCUCUGGCUGUAGCCUGAUCAUACAGCACUCACUUGACAUGCCCAAGUCCCAGGGUUCCGUCUCUAUCAUUGGGAACAAAAAAGAAAACGCAACUGUGUAGAUGUGACUACUGAAGGGACUCUGGACAGCCUGAGCAAGGCUAACACAGACGGAAGCUUGGCAAGCAUGGCUCUGGCAGACCUUGCCCUUCUCUCCCAUUCCCUCGGCCUUGCUACAUUCCAAAAGCUAGCCCCCAAGGUCUACUCCCUUAUUUGGCCACUUCCUCCUCCUGAGGCUGACUACCAAGGUCCAGUUAUCAGCAUAUUGGAAUCCAUCAUUUAGAAGCCACCUUUUGGCCACCUUAAUUAACAUGCUCAAUUAAAAUUA
Peromyscus maniculatus bairdii (prairie deer mouse) is the source of this 1200-nucleotide non-coding RNA. The record is from RefSeq and is a predicted model, not a curated record. Lineage: Eukaryota; Metazoa; Chordata; Mammalia; Rodentia; Cricetidae.